Capra hircus (goat) is the source of this 122-nucleotide ribosomal RNA. NCBI's taxonomy places the organism in Eukaryota, Metazoa, Chordata, Mammalia, Artiodactyla, Bovidae. The record is from Ensembl.
GUCUAUGACCAUACCACUCUGAAUGCGCCCGAUCUCCUCUGAUCUUGGAAGCUAAGUAGGGUUGGGCCUGGUCAGUACUUGGAUGUGAGAAAAGACCAUAUAAAACUAGCUAGUAAAUAACU